GGGUUUUUAUUUUAUAUUUUAAACAUUGAUUUUAUUUUUUAUGUUUUUAGAUGUUCAUUUUUUUGAAUGUUUUAUUCAAAUAAUAUAAAAAAUAAAAUAUAUAUUGACAUGGAUUAAACAAAGAUAUAUAUUAUUCUAUGUUGCAUAAACAAA
Molecule: unclassified non-coding RNA, 153 nt
Filed under: Borreliella bavariensis
Lineage: Bacteria; Pseudomonadati; Spirochaetota; Spirochaetia; Spirochaetales; Borreliaceae
Description: partial 5S-23S ribosomal RNA intergenic spacer
Source: RNAcentral